AAAGUACAAAGUGUACAACCACUACCUCCACGACUCUGCUUGUGUCUACGCUACAAGACAAGAAAAACAGCUCUUCCUGCAGAAAUGUUCCUUCAAGAUAGGAAUGGAUUUGAACAUGAUCCUUCAUAGGACAACUUCCAAAUCAGGCAAAAGAUCAUUGGUAUUUGAUCAAGGUUUCUCAACGACUCUAUUGACGUGCUUAAAGAUCUCAACGACUCUCUCACACCUCUAUAUAAAGGAGUGAAGACUUGAAGAUCAGCAGAGACAAGACAACAAGUUAAAAGCGUCCAAACUCUGCCAAAUUUGUUU
RNAcentral lists this long non-coding RNA (309 nucleotides) under Medicago truncatula (barrel medic). Its description in RNAcentral is "long non-coding RNA (MTRU_LNC006159)". Lineage: Eukaryota; Viridiplantae; Streptophyta; Magnoliopsida; Fabales; Fabaceae. The record is from RNAcentral.